CGCUAGCGGCGUGCCUAAUACAUGCAAGUCGUGGGAGAAAGUCACCUUCGGGUGACGAGUAAACCGGCGAACGGGUGAGUAACACGUAAGCAACUUACCUUCAAGUUCGGGAUAACUCGGCUAAAGCUGGGCUAAUACCGGAUGUGGACAUAUGUCCUCAUGAAUAUAUGUCUAAAGGCAACCUCUACCUGUAAGUUGUCGCUUGAAGAUAGGCUUGCGGCCCAUUAGUUAGUUGGUGAGGUAACGGCUCACCAAGGCAACGAUGGGUAGCCGGCCUGAGAGGGUGAUCGGCCACAUUGGGACUGAGAUACGGCCCAGACUCCUACGGGAGGCAGCAGUAGGGAAUAUUGCGCAAUGGGCGAAAGCCUGACGCAGCAACGCCGCGUGAGGGAUGACUGCCUUCGGGUUGUAAACCUCUGUUGAGUGGGAAGAAACUUUGUGCCGUUAAUAGCGGUAUGAACUGACGGUACCGCUCGAGGAAGCCCCGGCGAACUACGUGCCAGCAGCCGCGGUAAUACGUAGGGGGCGAGCGUUGUUCGGAAUUACUGGGCGUAAAGAGAGCGUAGGCGGGAGAGUAAGUUAGGAGUGAAAUGCAUGGGCUUAACCCAUGGUCCGCUCUUAAUACUGCUUUCCUUGAGUGUAGGAGGGGAAAGCGGAAUUCCGGGUGUAGCGGUGGAAUGCGUAGAUAUCCGGAAGAAUAUCAAUGGCGAAGGCUGCUUUCUGGCCUAUUACUGACGCUGAGGCUCUAAAGCUAGGGGAGCGAACAGGAUUAGAUACCCUGGUAGUCCUAGCCGUAAACGUUGGGCACUAGAUGUGGGAGGGUGUCCCUUCAGUGUCGUAGCUAACGCGAUAAGUGCCCCGCCUGGGGAGUACGCCCGCAAGGGUGAAACUCAAAGGAAUUGACGGGGGGCCGGCACAAGCGGUGGAGCAUGUGCUUUAAUUCGAUGAUACGCGAGGAACCUUACCUGGGUUGUACAUGGGAGUGAAAGCCGCCAGAGAUGGUGGCCCUUCUCUUCGGAGAACGCUUCCACACAGUUGCUGCAUGGUUGUCGUCAGCUCGUGUCGUGAGAUGUUG
RNAcentral lists this ribosomal RNA (1075 nucleotides) under uncultured organism. Its description in RNAcentral is "bacterial SSU rRNA". It matches the Rfam family "Bacterial small subunit ribosomal RNA", at positions 34 to 1077 of the family's 1533-position model. The record is from RNAcentral.